RNAcentral lists this long non-coding RNA (354 nucleotides) under Prunus persica (peach). Its description in RNAcentral is "long non-coding RNA (PPER_LNC002326)". Lineage: Eukaryota; Viridiplantae; Streptophyta; Magnoliopsida; Rosales; Rosaceae. The record is from RNAcentral.
UUUGCACUUAGAACUAGACGGUGGCUGGUGCAGAAAAUGGUGUUUUGCAGUAUAAUUCUUCUUGUUGGUUUUUAGUCUAAAAUUAUAUGUUUAAAUAUACGUAUGUUAAUGAAGACAAAACCUGGCGAGUGAGUGAGGCACGCUUAUAGUUUAUAAGUUGGCUAGUAUUAUAUGCUAGUUAUAUAUCGUAGGCAUUAACACCACUCCCCGACUCGUCUCCUUUUGUAUGCUAGUUAUGGAUUAGAGGUGAGCGACUUUAAAAUUCAUGUUGGAAAUCUAAUUUGAUAUAUAUUAGGAACUGCAUGGAUUUAUAAAGAAUCUCAGCAUAUAUAUAAAGAAUAUAGUGGUGCGGCU